GACGAACGCUGGCGGCGUGCCUAAUACAUGCAAGUAGAACGCUGAAGGAGGAGCUUGCUUCUCUGGAUGAGUUGCGAACGGGUGAGUAACGCGUAGGUAACCUGCCUGGUAGCGGGGGAUAACUAUUGGAAACGAUAGCUAAUACCGCAUAAGAGUAGAUGUUGCAUGACAUUUGCUUAAAAGGUGCAAUUGCAUCACUACCAGAUGGACCUGCGUUGUAUUAGCUAGUUGGUGGGGUAACGGCUCACCAAGGCGACGAUACAUAGCCGACCUGAGAGGGGGAUCGGCCACACUGGGACUGAGACACGGCCCAGACUCCUACGGGAGGCAGCAGUAGGGAAUCUUCGGCAAGGGACGGAAGUCUGACCGAGCAACGCCGCGUGAGGGAAGAAGGGUUUCGGAUCGUAAAGCUCUGUUGUAAGAGAAGAACGAGUGUGAGAGUGGAAAGUUCACACUGUGACGGUAUCUUACCAGAAAGGGACGGCUAACUACGUG
RNAcentral lists this ribosomal RNA (495 nucleotides) under uncultured bacterium. RNAcentral describes it as "partial 16S ribosomal RNA". It matches the Rfam family "Bacterial small subunit ribosomal RNA", at positions 28 to 507 of the family's 1533-position model. The record is from RNAcentral.